UCAUGCCUGCUUUCACACGUGGAUCAUCCAUUAACAUCUGUACUGUCGUUGCUCCGCCAAAUGAAUGCCCAAACAUGCCGAUGUUGUCCAGAUCCAUACGUCCUGUAAAGCGUCCGCUCGGAUCUCCCGUACCCAACUUCUCUACCUCAUCCAGUACAAACUGUGCAUCCUUCACCCAUGUCUCAUUCAACUUGUCCAUGUAACUGAAUUGCAGCUGUUCAAAGCCUUCUUUUCCUUCCGAUUCAAACUGCGCCACACGUCCAUCCGGGAAUACGGAUACCAGACUGCUAUACGUGUGAUUAAUGCCUACAACAAUGUAACCUUGACUGACCAGCUGCUCAACCUGGAACGUAUUCUGAUUUUCAUACCCAUGCAGACCAUGAGAGAAAAGAACAACCGGAUACUUGGCUUCGGCCUCAGACAACUGAGCUUCCUGUAUCGCAUGUGUUUUGACCUGACGCAGACUGGAAAAUAAAAGCUUUGGCAGUUUCUGGCCCAGGCCGAGGCGGAGGGCAUGCGCCCGCGCCAGAAUUGGCUGGCCCGGCCGCUGGUCGUGCUGUUGCCCUUCCUCUGCCUGUCCCUUGGCGUCUUCGCGCUCACAUUGCUCGUGCGCCCGCUCGGAUUGGGCAGCCCGCCCGUGUGGAUCGACGGCUUCCUGCCCUUGGUCCUGCUGCUGGUCGGCGUGCGCUACCUGAUCGAUCCUUCCUCCAUCCACGGCACGCGUGCCGACGUCUCGCGUGGACUCGGCUUCGCUUUCAUCGGCGUCUCCGCCGUCCUUCUCGUCCUCAAGUUCAUCUAGUUCGUCACGGAGUAACCCCAAUGCCGCUUCUCGAAGCCCGCAAGACCUACAGUAACGUGGAGGAACGUAGAAGUUCCACGAUGUUAUCGUGUGCAAGUUCCGACUCCUCUAAUCGUGCCCACAUGUUGAGAAUCCACGCCCUGCUCCAUCCUGUGUGUCCACCACCGUGUUCCAGUCUUCUGUCGAGUGUUACACGAGCUGCCUUGGCCAGGUCAGGCGUUGAUUGCAACGUAAUUUGCGUUCCAGGAUGCAAAGCGAAUAAAUGGGAAAUAUGUCUGUGACCCGGUUCCAAUUCAUCAUAAUCGUUACUCCAUUCUUGGAUCUGGCCAUGUUUGCCAAUGGAGGUCUCCGGUAUUUUGGUUAAAGCACUGCGGAGUACUUCUCCAAAUUCCUGAUCUUCUUGCAAUAUUCGGGUACUUUCAAUGCAACGCGUGAAGAGUUCUCUAAUAAUCUUAGCGAAGGUCAUGAUCUCACACUGCCAAGAAAAGCCUCUAGCCAGGUGAUGGUGCCCGUACCGCAAACCGACACAGGUAGGCGAGAAGAGUAUUCUAAGGCGCGCGGAAGAACUCUCGUUAAGGAACUCGGCAAAAUGACCCCGUAACUUCGGGAGAAGGGGUGCCCCGGUAGUGUGAAUAGCACGAGGGGGCCGCAGUGAAAAGGCCCAAGCGACUGUUUAGCAAAAACACAGGUCUGUGCGAAGCCGUAAGGCGAAGUAUACGGGCUGACGCCUGCCCGGUGCUGGAAGGUUAAGGGGAGUGGUUAGGAGCAAUCCGAAGCUGUGAACCGAAGCCCCAGUAAACGGCGGCCGUAACUAUAACGGUCCUAAGGUAGCGAAAUUCCUUGUCAGGUAAAUUCUGACCCGCACGAAUGGCGUAACGACUUGGGCGCUGUCUCAACGAGAGAUCCGGUGAAAUUUUAAUACCUGUGAAGAUGCAGGUUACCCGCGACAAGACGGAAAGACCCCAUGGAGCUUUACUGCAGCUUGAUAUUGAAUUUGGGUACGAUCUGUACAGGAUAGGUGGGAGCCUUUGAAACGUGAGCGCCAGCUUGCGUGGAGGCAACGUUGGGAUACCACCCUGAUCGUAUCUAGGUUCUAACCUGGUACCGUAAUCCGGUGCGGGGACAGUGUCAGGUGGGCAGUUUGACUGGGGCGGUCGCCACCUAAAGAGUAACGGAGGCGCCCAAAGGUUCCCUCAGAAUGGUUGGAAAUCAUUCGAAGAGUGCAAAGGCAUAAGGGAGCUUGACUGCGAGACCUACAAGUCGAGCAGGGACGAAAGUCGGGCUUAGUGAUCCGGUGGUACCGCAUGGAAGGGCCAUCGCUCAACGGAUAAAAGCUACCCUGGGGAUAACAGGCUUAUCUCCCCCAAGAGUCCACAUCGACGGGGAGGUUUGGCACCUCGAUGUCGGCUCAUCGCAUCCUGGGGCUGAAGUAGGUCCCAAGGGUUACCAUUCCACUAACAAGAAUUGCGUUUAAAUACGUAGUCGCCUUUGUGGUAUUUGUUUCUCUUGUACUGUUAUCCGCAGAUAGCCGCAGACAAUUGGGGCAAAUGAAUGAUGCCAUAUUACGUGAUAUGAAAUAUGCAGCAACUGCGGUUGUUCAGGAUCUUGAUGAAGAGUACGUUACCUCUGAGAAUAUGGAUCAGAAUAUGGCGCGUUAUCAUCAUCUACUGGGUGUGAAUGUGAUUCUGCUGAAUCGCAAUGAUACAGUCGUC
Molecule: ribosomal RNA, 2511 nt
Filed under: Acinetobacter sp. VT 511
Lineage: Bacteria; Pseudomonadati; Pseudomonadota; Gammaproteobacteria; Moraxellales; Moraxellaceae
Description: bacterial LSU rRNA
Rfam family: Bacterial large subunit ribosomal RNA (bases 1010-2511)
Source: RNAcentral